UGGGGAAUACUGCACAAUGGGGGAAACCCUGAUGCAGCGACGCCGCGUGGAGGAAGAAGGUCUUCGGAUUGUAAACUCCUGUUGUUGAGGAAGAUAAUGACGGUACUCAACAAGGAAGUGACGGCUAACUACGUGCCAGCAGCCGCGGUAAAACGUAGGUCACAAGCGUUGUCCGGAAUUACUGGGUGUAAAGGGAGCGCAGGCGGGCGAUCAAGUUGGAAGUGAAAUCCAUGGGCUCAACCCAUGAACUGCUUUCAAAACUGGUCGUCUUGAGUAGUGCAGAGGUAGGCGGGAUUCCCGGUGUAGCGGUGGAAUGCGUAGAUAUCGGGAGGAACACCAGUGGCGAAGGCGGCCUACUGGGCACCAACUGACGCUGAGGCUCGAAAGUGUGGGUAGCAAACAGGAUUAGAUACCCUGGUAGUCCACACCGUAAACGAUGAUUACUAGGUGUUGGGAGAUUGACCCUCUCAGUGCCGCAGUUAACACAAUAAGUAAUCCACCUGGGGAGUACGACCGCAAGGUUGAAACUCAAAGGAAUUGACGGGGGCCCGCACAAGCAGUGGAGUAUGUGGUUUAAUUCGACGCAACGCGAAGAACCUUACCAAGUCUUGACAUCCUCUGACGAACGUAGAAAUACGUUUUCUCUUCGGAGCAGAGAGACAGGUGGUGCAUGGUUGUCGUCAGCUCGUGUCGUGAGAUGUUGGGUUAAGUCCCGCAACGAGCGCAACCCUUAUGGUCAGUUACUACGCAAGAGGACUCUGGCCAGACUGCCGUUGACAAAACGGAGGAAGGUGGGGAUGACGUCAAAUCAUCAUGCCCUUUAUGACUUGGGCUACACACGUACUACAAUGGCGUUAAACAAAGAGAAGCAAGACCGCGAGGUGGAGCAAAACUCAGAAACAACGUCCCAGUUCGGACUGCAGGCUGCAACUCGCCUGCACGAAGUCGGAAUUGCUAGUAAUCGUGGAUCAGCAUGCCACGGUGAAUACGUUCCC
RNAcentral lists this ribosomal RNA (995 nucleotides) under uncultured bacterium. Its description in RNAcentral is "bacterial SSU rRNA". It matches the Rfam family "Bacterial small subunit ribosomal RNA", at positions 355 to 1375 of the family's 1533-position model. The record is from RNAcentral.